This is a long non-coding RNA of Homo sapiens (human), 984 nucleotides long. Ensembl annotates it as long intergenic non-protein coding RNA 2805. The record is from Ensembl. Lineage: Eukaryota; Metazoa; Chordata; Mammalia; Primates; Hominidae.
CUUUCCAGACAGACUCCGGGGCCCUCAACUGGUCUCCGACCUUCCCCUGCAACCUGCGACACCUGCCAUUUUCCCAUCUUAGGCUCCAGAAGCAGAAUCAAGUGGGAUGUCUUGGAAGAAAAACAAACAAAAGGCCCACUAGGUGGAGUGAAAUGGAUCAGGAGCAAUUAUGUUCAAUUUCACCUUUAAGUUUUCUCAAAAGGAGGAGCAUUAAGAAUCAGCCACCUUAGUACAUACUUAAAGGCUAGCACACAUGAUUUUUUCUGCUUGCACUUCAGGAGAAGAUAGUCAUUGGACAAAAGUCCACAGGUCGAGAGGAACCAUACUUGAAGAAACAUACCUGAAGGGUUUCAUCCAUAUGUGGGCCUGAUUUGGAUGAUAAAAUCCUGCAUCUUGAGCCUGAUCUUGAUGCUGCCUGUGUUCUGAUGCCAUCAGGAGUUGAGAGUCUAGGGGUUUUAGAAAGGGUGAAUGUAUUUUCCCAUAGGCAAGGAACAUAAUCAAUGGCCAAAAUGUGCACUGUGACAGAUUAAAGGUUGCUACAAAUUCUCUGAUACCCUUCCAUUAAGAGGUAGGGCAGAUAUUCCCUCCCCUCAAAUCUGGGUGGGCUCCAUGACUUGCUUUGAUCAACAGAAAACGGCAGCAGUGAUGCUGGGCCAGUUGUUGGAUCCAGGCCUUAAGAACCAACAACUUCCACUUAAGUUCUCUUGGAACACUGAGUCCCUGACUACCCUAAUAUCAUGUUGGAAAGGCUACAUGUAGGCACUCUAGUUGCCAGUCCCAGCCAAGACCAGCUUUUCAGCCAUCCCCAUCACUAAAUUUGUAAAUGAAGCCAUCUGGAAUCUCCAGACCAGCUCAUUUGGCAGCUGGGUAUCAUCAAGUUAUCUCUGCUGACUCCACAUGGAACAAAGGAAUCACCCAGCUGAGCCCUAUUCAAACUAUUGACCAAAAAAAUAGUGAGACAUAAUAAAAUGAUGUUUUAAGCCA